This is a long non-coding RNA of Brassica rapa (field mustard), 2127 nucleotides long. RefSeq lists it as uncharacterized. Lineage: Eukaryota; Viridiplantae; Streptophyta; Magnoliopsida; Brassicales; Brassicaceae. The record is from RefSeq and is a predicted model, not a curated record.
CACCAAUAAUUUGAAUAAAUCUCAUAGGAGUUAGGAUGAAGAGAUUAUCCCAUUUUCAUAUCAUGUGAUCCUAGUUUUCCUGUUUGGGAACAAGAAAACUUCUUCGUCAUUCUAAUCAAACCAGAAUGAAUGGCGAUGCAAGAAGCUUGAUUUGGAUACAAAAAAUAGUCAAGAGUCACGUUGAAGUUGAAUAAAUAUCAUAAGAGUUAGGAUGAUGAAGUUAUCCCACUUUCAAAUAAGGUAAUUUCAGUUUUCCUGUUUGGGAACAUGAAAACUCCUUCGUCAUUCUAAUCAAGCUAGGAUGAAUCGCUAUGUAAGAAGCUAUACCCAAACUAGUGGAGAAUCUCCAGGAAGUUGAAUAAAGCGCAUAGGAGUUAGGAUAAAGAAGUUAUCCCACUUUCAAAUAAGGUGAUUCUAGUUUUUCUGUUUCGGAAUAUGAUAACUUCUUCAUCAUUCUAAUCAAACCAGGAUGAAUCGCGAUGUAAGAAGCCGUAUUUGGAUACAUAAAGUAGUGGGUAAUCACCAGGAAGUUGAGUAAAUCUCAUAAGACUUAGGAUGAAGAAGUUAUCCCAGUUUCAAAUAAGGUGAUCCCAAUUUUCAUGUUUGAGAAUAUGACUACGUCAUUCUAAUCAAACCAGGAUGAAUUGCUAUGUUAGAAGCUUAAUUUUGAUACAUAGAGUAGUGGAGAAUCACCAAGAACUUGAAUAAAUCUCAUAGGAGUUAGGAUGAAGAAGUUAUCCCACUUUCAUAUCACGUGAUCCUAGUUUUCAUAUUUGUGAACAUGACAACUUCUUCAUCAUUCUAAUCAAACCUGGAUGAACGGUGUAAGAAGCUUGAUUUCGAUACAUAAAAUAGUGGAGAGUCACAUGGAACUUGACUAAAUAUCAUAAGAAUUAGGAUGAUGAAGUUAUCCCAUUUUCAAAUCAAGUGAUUUCAGUUUUCUUGUUCGGGAACAUGACAACAUCUUUGUCAUUCUAAUCAAACAAGGAUGAAUCCCAAAGUAAGAAACUUGCUUUGGAUUCAUAAGGUAGUAGUGAAUUACUUGGAAAUUGAAAUCAUCUCAUAGGAGUUAGGAUGAAGAAGUUAUCCCAAUUUCUAGUAAGGUGAUUCCAAUUUUUCAGUUUGGGAUAUGCAACUUCUUCGCUAUUAUAUUCAAACCAGGAUGAAUCGCAAUAUAAGAAACUUGAUUUGGAUACAUUAGGUAGUGGAGAAUUACUACGAAGUUUAAUUGAUCUCAUAGGAGUUAGGGAUGAAGUUAUUCCACUUUCAAAUCAGGUGAUUCCGGUUUUCCUAUCUGAGAAUAUGACAACUUCUUCGUCAUUCUAAUCAAGCCAGAAUGAAUCACAAUGUAAGAAGCUCAAUUUGGAUAGAUAAACUAGUGGAGAAUCACCAGGAAGUUGAAUAAAUCACAUAGUAGUCAGGAUGAAGAAGUUAUCCCACUUUCAAAUCAUGUGAUUCCAGUUUUCUGUUUUGGAAUAUGGCAUCUUCUUCGUCAUUUUAAUCAAACCAGGAUGAAUCGCGAUAUAAGAAGUUGUAUUUGGAUACAUUAAGUAGUGGAGAAUCCCCAUGAAGUUGAAUAAACCACAUAGGAGGUAAAAUGAAGAAGUUAUCCCACUUUCAAAUAAAAUGAUCCCAUUUUUCCUGUUUGGGAAUAUGACAACUUCUUCAUCAUUUUAAUCAAACCAGAAUGAAUGGCGAUGUAAGAAGCUUGAUUUCGAUACAGAAAAUAGUGGAGAGUCACAUGGAAGUUGAGUAAAUAUCAUGAGAGUUAGGAUGAUGAAGUUAUUCUAUUUUCAAAUCAAGUGAUUCCAGUUUUCCUGUUUAGGAACAUGACAACAUCUUUGUCAUUCUAAUCAAACCAGGAUGAAUCGCAAUGUAAGAAACUUGCUUUGGAUACAUAAGGUAGUAGAGAAUUACUUAGAAGUUGAAAUAAUCUCAUAGGAGUUAGGAUGAAGAAGUUAUUCCACUUUUUAGUAAGGUGAUUCCAUUUUUUCAGUUUGGGAAUAUGCAACUUCUUCGUUAUUCUAGUAAAACCAGGAUGAAUCGCAAUGUAAGAAACUUGAUUUGGAUACAUAAGGUAGUGGAGAAUUACUAGGAAGUUGAAUAAAUCUCAUAGGAGUUAGGGAU